This 1968-nucleotide long non-coding RNA is filed under the name Mytilus galloprovincialis (Mediterranean mussel). Lineage: Eukaryota; Metazoa; Mollusca; Bivalvia; Mytilida; Mytilidae. The record is from RNAcentral.
GCAAAAGUUAAAUGCCAUACCGGAAUGGAAACGACAGUGUCUUACUCAAACAUUGCUCCUGGAGAAUGUAGCUCUUCUGGUGACAAACGAUUUACAAUAAUAUAUAUCAGCGUUCCUGGUGAGAGUAAACCCAGAAAAGCGCUAUAUAUGCAACAUAUUUAUGAAGUAUUAUUUUUAACUUUUGUCAGCAGAUGAGUUUCAUACUCAAAAACAUGAAAGUUGAGGAUGCAUAACUAACUAGUAUAUAAUCACCCGAGAACCCCUACGACCAAUAGAGCAUACUAGAAUAGCCUACUCUUCAAAUGUCAACUUGCCUAAAUAAAUUGGAAACUUAAUUUUAAUUCAUUUAUCAAUUCAUCAACGGUUAAUAUAUUUACAAAUGUAUGACAUAAAUCAUGUCUGUACCGAAGCAUCACUACUAAGCUAAUGAUACCAUCGGAGACUUACAGUCCAUUAAUAUCGGUAUAGAACCAAUGUUAAAAUCAUUGAAAUAACACUUUGAUUUUGUGUUUCUUACGCAGUGCUUUUCUGUAUUUACCUUCACCGGAACGUUCGAUGCCAAAUCGUAUAUGAAUACGUAAAACAUUAGAAGCUGUGUCGUCGAAUAGUACAGAAAAAGAAUAGAAAAUCCGGUAACGGUCAAUUAUUGUUAAAGGAAUUCCAACCUGGGUUUCUUAGUAAUUUCAAAAUUAUAUUAUAUCUAUAUUGAUGAAACAUGAUUGAACGUGAAGAUUACAGCUUUUCCUUUAUAAACAUCCCAUAUAUGCCUUAUAUUUUAGAUAUCAGCAUAUAGUACGUAGUUAUAGGAGUGUGCAUUACCAUUUUGUCUUUAUUUACUCAAUAACUUUAACCAGUACUGUUGAAUCUCAUUCGUUGAUUUUAACAUGUUUGACAGACAGGAACAUAUUUCAAAGACAACAUUUUUGGAAAAAAAUUGUACAAUUAUUUGGAAUGCAUUUGAAUACUGAGUAUAACCUGGUCGAUUAAAUUUUGAAUCCAUUGAACAUAGUUAGACCAUUAUGUGCACCAGUUGCAUAUGUGCAUGAAUGUUUUACUUCGAUCCAAGCUUCACUUCCAUUUUUCAUUCAGCGACAACACUUUUUGUUGCAGCAAAAGAACUGGUUGAUUUUUUUAGAUCAAGAUAACCUCGCAUUACCGGCUGUGAAUCAAUCAUAAAAAUAGUGUGGCACACUUUCCGUGCUCGUGUUGUUAUGGUCCAUGUAAAGCUGUAAAAUCCAUCAAUUGGACACGUGAACUUUCCUGUUGCUGGAUUGUAUCCACUACCGCUAUUAAGGUGGUAUGGGAGUCUAAAAUAAAAAUGAUAGAAUUUGUUCAUACUUUGCCAAAACGUUGUAUCUAUUGAUACUGUUUGAAAAAUAUAAUAAAAAUGAUAGGUCACCGCGCAUUUUCUCAAGCUACAGGACGGGACAAAAUGAUGUAUGGAUUAUACAGGAAAAAACACCAUUUUGUGAUUAGAAACUAAACAAAAUGAUAGAAUUGUUAAAUACUUCAGGAAAAGAUAGCUUUCAGACACUGCUUGAGAAUAUCAAAAGAAAGAUAGGGUCACCGUCGUUUUUCGGUAAAAUACAAAAUAGGAAAAUUCCAUACAGAAUCCUUAAAAAAAUGCACUUUUUUAGAGUUACCUCCCCUUAAAAUGUCAAUUUUAAAAAAAAAAUAAAAACAACCAAAAAUAAUUAACAUUUGCAAAAAUAUAUUUAUUUAGAAGUUAUAUUCUUAUAAAUUGGUACUUUUAAAUGAAAUGUACAUUAAACAUCUGCAUUCUGCAUCAAUUUUGCUAAUUGAUGGAAAACCUGAAUGAUUCUCUGUUUUUUACAAUCCAAGAUGGAGGAAGACACCCAUACCACCUUAAGAACAACAUCAUCAAACUUAAUCGUAGCACUGGUCGGGUACAAAGCAUGGUCCACUGAAAGGUGUGCUUGAAAUGCCACUGGUUCAGGAUUAGCUAUG